CCUGACCACCCAAGUCAAAAUGUGUUCUGUGGAACUUCCACCAGAAAGGAUUAUCCCUCCCGGAUUAGGGAGGGUCGGGCCGAGUGGUGUUAAGAUUUUAUUUGAGUAGUCAAGACCUGCAUCUCUGAGAACACAGUCUGGCUCGGAAACACGCAACUGUCCAGGAAUCUGCUGCUCAGAGAGACAAACACCAUGUCCGAACAGCCACAGGAGGAUUGUCAGUACUACACCAUUCUCAUGGCAGAAAAAGUGAGAUCAUUGGAAAAUGCCUCCUGCAGAAACAUGUUCCCAAGCCAGGAAGAGAUCCAGGAACUGGCUUUACUACUCCAGAUUAAGGACAUGAUAGUUCAGGCAUGGUUUGAACAGUAUCAAGGCAAAGUGCUGACAAAGCACAGAAACUGCCAGUGUUAUCUGUCUGCGGCAUCCUCCAACCAGGCCGUGCCGGCAACGUCUGCAUCCUCCAACCGGGCUAUGC
Long non-coding RNA from Psammomys obesus (fat sand rat), 475 nucleotides. RefSeq lists it as uncharacterized. The record is from RefSeq and is a predicted model, not a curated record. Lineage: Eukaryota; Metazoa; Chordata; Mammalia; Rodentia; Muridae. The transcript is spliced from 3 exons.